AACUUUCAACAACGGAUCUCUUGGUUCUGGCAUCGAUGAAGAACGCAGCGAAAUGCGAUAACUAAUGUGAAUUGCAGAAUUCAGUGAAUCAUCGAGUCUUUGAACGCACAUUGCGCCCCCUGGUAUUCCGGGGGGCAUGCCUGUCCGAGCGUCAUU
RNAcentral lists this ribosomal RNA (156 nucleotides) under Aspergillus niger. Its description in RNAcentral is "5.8S ribosomal RNA". It matches the Rfam family "5.8S ribosomal RNA". From Rfam's summary of the family: 5.8S ribosomal RNA (5.8S rRNA) is a component of the large subunit of the eukaryotic ribosome. It is transcribed by RNA polymerase I as part of the 45S precursor that also contains 18S and 28S rRNA. Lineage: Eukaryota; Fungi; Ascomycota; Eurotiomycetes; Eurotiales; Aspergillaceae. The record is from RNAcentral.